CAGCAGCCGCGGUAAUACGGAGGAUCCAAGCGUUAUCCGGAUUUAUUGGGUUUAAAGGGUGCGUAGGUGGCCUGUUAAGUCAGGGGUGAAAGACGGUAGCUUAACUAUCGCAGUGCCUUUGAUACUGACGGGCUUGAAUACACUAGAGGUAGGCGGAAUGUGACAAGUAGCGGUGAAAUGCAUAGAUAUGUCACAGAACACCAAUUGCGAAGGCAGCUUACUAUGGUGUUAUUGACACUGAGGCACGAAAGCGUGGGGAUCAAACAGGAUUAGAUACCCCCGUAGUCCCUGUCUCUUAUAA
This 301-nucleotide ribosomal RNA is filed under the name uncultured bacterium. Its description in RNAcentral is "partial 16S ribosomal RNA". It matches the Rfam family "Bacterial small subunit ribosomal RNA", at positions 509 to 809 of the family's 1533-position model. The record is from RNAcentral.